GAGGGUUUAGCUCAGUGGUAGAGUAUGUGCCUAGCAUGCACAAGAUCCUGGGUUCAAUCCCUGGUACCUCCA
This 72-nucleotide transfer RNA is filed under the name Camelus bactrianus (Bactrian camel). It matches the Rfam family "tRNA". From Rfam's summary of the family: Transfer RNA (tRNA) molecules are approximately 80 nucleotides in length. RNAcentral also lists the same sequence under 2 other names. Lineage: Eukaryota; Metazoa; Chordata; Mammalia; Artiodactyla; Camelidae. The record is from Rfam by way of RNAcentral.